Molecule: ribosomal RNA, 504 nt
Filed under: uncultured bacterium
Lineage: Bacteria
Description: partial 16S ribosomal RNA
Rfam family: Bacterial small subunit ribosomal RNA
Source: RNAcentral
GAUAAACGCUAGCGGCAGGUUUAACACAUGCAAGUCGAGGGGCAGCAUAGAUUGUAGCAAUACAAUUGGUGGCGACCGGCGCACGGGUGCGUAACGCGUAUGCAACCUACCCGUCACAGGGGGAUAAUCCGGAGAAAUCUGGUCUAAUACCCCAUAACAUAUGGAUCGGCAUCGGUUCAUGUUGAAAUUUUCGGAGGUUACGGAUUGGCAUGCGUUGCAUUAGCUUGUUGGUGAGGUAACGGCUCACCAAGGCGACGAUGCUUAGGGGGACUGAGAGGUUUUCCCCCCACACUGGUACUGAGACACGGACCAGACUCCUACGGGAGGCAGCAGUGAGGAAUAUUGGUCAAUGGGCGCAAGCCUGAACCAGCCAUGCCGCGUGCAGGAUGACGGCUCUAUGAGUUGUAAACUGCUUUUGUACGAGGGUAAAGUGGGUUACGUGUAACCUUUUGAAAGUAUCGUACGAAUAAGGAUCGGCUAACUCCGUGCCAGCCGCCGCCGUAA